AGUUUCGUGGUCUAAUGGUUAUGAUUUCUCAUUCACAUGCAACUCCGACAGGCGUGUGUAUUCUGAGAAGGUUCUGGGUUCGAUCCCCAGCGAGACUA
This 98-nucleotide transfer RNA is filed under the name Ramalina farinacea. RNAcentral describes it as "tRNA-Val". It matches the Rfam family "tRNA". Rfam says of the family: Transfer RNA (tRNA) molecules are approximately 80 nucleotides in length. Their secondary structure includes four short double-helical elements and three loops (D, anti-codon, and T loops). Lineage: Eukaryota; Fungi; Ascomycota; Lecanoromycetes; Lecanorales; Ramalinaceae. The record is from RNAcentral.